Molecule: ribosomal RNA, 459 nt
Filed under: uncultured bacterium
Lineage: Bacteria
Description: partial 16S ribosomal RNA
Rfam family: Bacterial small subunit ribosomal RNA
Source: RNAcentral
CCUACGGAGGCAGCAGUGAGGAAUAUUGGUCAAUGGGCGAGAGCCUGAACCAGCCAAGUCGCGUGAAGGAUGACGGCCCUACGGGGUGUAAACUUCUUUUGUCAGGGAGCAAUUGGGUCCACGCGUGGGCUUAGCGAGAGUACCUGAAGAAAAAGCAUCGGCUAACUCCGUGCCAGCAGCCGCGGUAAUACGGAGGAUGCGAGCGUUAUCCGGAUUUAUUGGGUUUAAAGGGUGCGUAGGCGGAAUAUCAAGUCAGCGGUAAAACUUCGGGGCUCAACCUCGUCGUGCCGUUGAAACUGAUGUUCUUGAGUGGGCGAGAAGUAGGCGGAAUGCGUGGUGUAGCGGUGAAAUGCUUAGAUAUCACGCAGAACUCCGAUUGCGAAGGCAGCAUACCGGCGCCCAACUGACGCUGAAGCACGAAAGCGUGGGUAUCGAACAGGAUUAGAUACCCUAGUAGUC